UCGGCGGCCACAGCGCCAAGCGAGCGAGCCGGCCCGUGCUCCUGGGGCGCCUGCGCUCGCUAGAGCGGUUUGAAAAUCAGUGAACAGAAAACUGUCACUCUCCACGGCCAGCUUGUUCGUGGUGUACACUUGUCUGAACAUCCAAAGGACUAAUGAUAAAUAAUUUUACAUGUAUCUAUUAGACUUCUGGAUAUCCUCCUUGGUUCUAUUACAUGUGAUUUGUAGUUUUAUGGGAUUGCUGCCAGAAAGAGAACAUGGAAUGAUUUAAAUCUUUAGUUUUCAACAUUGACUUCUGUCCCAACAUACAGUCUCUCCGUAUCUUCUGCAGUUUCAUUGGAUUGAGACUUAUCUCCAGUCAGAAGCACGAGAGGGUGAGUGAAUUCACCAGAGCCAGAGCGGGGAGCAGAGCAGGCAGAAGAACCGAAGUACACUGCUGAGGGGAGCAGCGGGCGGCAGGAGAGGUCUGCGUGCCAUGCGGGACCCUCCUCCCGUGGCCGGGGAGCAGCCGGGGAUCGAACCGGCGCUGCAGAGGCCGCGGGCAGCUUCACAACCCAGCGCUCAACCGCUGCGCCACCGGGGAGGCCCUGUAGCUGUUCUUUUUUCCUGUCCUUGUAAAAAUGGUAAUACUGGUUUUAUAGAAUGAGUUGGAUAACAUUUCCUUUUUAUUUCCUAGUGAUCACAUAAAUCUUGCAAAAAGAUUCUUUACAUAUUUGGUUUAACUUUCCAUUAAAUAUGUGUUCGAAGAUUUCUUUUUCAGAUUUUAAGUUAUGAAUGCAAUUUACUGCAUUGGUGUUGGGAUACUCAUUUUAGCUUCCGUGUUUAGUGAUUUAUGGUAAUUUGUGGUUUUUGGGAAACUGACUCAUUUUAAUAAGUGUAUAAAUUCAGCAUGUCAAAUUAGUUUCCCAUCAUAGUCCCUUUAAAGUCUUCAUGGUUUAUCAUUUUAUCUUGCUUCAUUAGUAUUAUUGAUCUUUGGCUUCAUUUUUUGUCCAUAUUGAUAGAGGUAUGCAAGUACACUUACCUUUUUUUUUUAAAGAUUUAUUUAUGCAUACAAGAACUGGGGUAUAGGCCAGAGGUGCUCUUUUGUCUCCAAUUGUUUGGAAAUUUCCCCAUUAACUUUCAGUUAUCUGUUUUUACUUUGAUACCAUUCUGGUCACUUAUGAUCAAAACUCCAAAAGACAUGUUGACAUUAGCUGUGUAGAUUGAAGUAUAUAUUCUACAUGGCUUAUAAGUAAUUAAAAAGAGCAUCUACUGUAUUGUUCUUGGGUGGACACUUGCAUAUAUACCAACUAAGUAUGGGUAAUUCGUAGUGUUGUUUUUAUGAUUUGGGUUUUUUUUAGUUUGAAGUUUUGAUGAGGUUUGUAUCCUACUUUUUUUCAUUUAAUUCCAUCAACUACUGAGAGUAUUGUUACUUUUUUUUUUUUUUAAGAUUUCUUUAUUUAUGCAUACAAGAGCUGGGGUGCAGGCCAGAGAUGCUGUGGGUGAGAGGAUUCACCAGAGACAGAGGGGAGAGCAGAACAGGCAGAUGUAUUGAAAUACACUGCUGAGGAGGCAGCAGGCGAGGCAGGAGAGGUCUGCUGCGCCAUGUGGGUCACCUCCCUGGCCGGGGAUCAAACUUGUGCUGCAGUGGCUGCGGAUAGCUUCAUAGUGCUGUGUCUUAACCCCUUGCACCACCAGGGAGGCCCCGAGAGUAUUGUUACUUAGCAAAUCUAUUUGAUUUCAUGAUUUCUAUUGCAUUAUGUAUUUUGAAGGUUUGCUGAUAGAUCAAUAAAAUUUAUGUUGGUUAUAUAUUCUUAGUUGAUUAUUGUAUUAUGCUUUGUAUCUGCUCUGGGUAACUUUCUUUGCUGUGAAAUCCACUUUGUGGGAAUCAUUGGUUUCUGUUAAUGUCCACAUGGUUAUUUUCAUUUUUCUACUUCCAUACUACAUGCAUCAUCAUAUUUGAAGUAACCUGCUGAUAUACAGCAUAUGAUCAUGUUAUCUCUGCCAUUAUUUAUGUUGGUAUAUAUAGAACAUUUGUAUACAUUUUUGUAUGAUUAAAAUACUAUACAUA
Molecule: long non-coding RNA, 2047 nt
Organism: Talpa occidentalis (Iberian mole)
Lineage: Eukaryota; Metazoa; Chordata; Mammalia; Eulipotyphla; Talpidae
Exons: 5
Source: RefSeq, a predicted model, not a curated record